RNAcentral lists this long non-coding RNA (483 nucleotides) under Cyanistes caeruleus (blue tit). Its description in RNAcentral is "lncRNA (ENSCCEG00000017979.1)". The record is from RNAcentral. Lineage: Eukaryota; Metazoa; Chordata; Aves; Passeriformes; Paridae.
GCCGGAGCAGCGGGGAAAUGUAGCCCCUUCCCUUUCCCCUUCCCCUUCGGCGGCUGGAAGGCAGAAGUCGCGCUGUCACAUGGCCCCCGGCCGGCGCGGCAGGCAGGCAGGGAGGGAAGGCGGGGAGGGAGCCCAGCCCCACCUGGAUUCGCCUCAGCGGUGCCGCCUUCCCGAGCGCCUGGUUCAAAACUCCUCGAAAAGCGCUUUAACGUAGAAAACUUGGGUUCGAGACCAGAAAGUCGGGAGGUUAGUGCAGAAUGACAGCCGUAACUCUGAAUGUCUUCAUCAGCUGCUGCUGGCAACACCCUGACAAAGUAUCUGCCACCCAGAAAACCACAUACUGUUUUCCAUGGUCUGAGAAUAGCCACUUGCUUGUUUCUCAACUAGUGAAGAAAUUUGUGUCAUCCCUUACAUCUUGCAAAAUCUGGAUCAGAAAGGCCAUUGCAGGAGACAGGUAAAUUCUCUUCCAGCUGUUAACAAACA